This is a long non-coding RNA of Neofelis nebulosa (Clouded leopard), 2579 nucleotides long. RefSeq lists it as uncharacterized. The transcript is spliced from 2 exons. The record is from RefSeq and is a predicted model, not a curated record. NCBI's taxonomy places the organism in Eukaryota, Metazoa, Chordata, Mammalia, Carnivora, Felidae.
AGAAGGGGUAGCAGAGGCAGCUAAUUUGGGGAUUUGCUUGUCUUUGAAUGGGGGUAAUUACUGGGAGUUGCCAAUUGUUCCAGAUUGUUCCCUGGAAGAAGGGGAGGGGGGGCACUCUCCUGGGCUCUGCUGAGCGCUGCCCCCUGCAGGCAGUGUGGUGAGGUCACAGAGGGGUGGUCCGGGCUGGGGAGCCACAGGACAGAGUCAGGGGAGCCCAGGAUCCCAGCAGGUGGGGCUGGGCCGAUAGGGCCCUCCGAGGUCACGUCACCCGCUCAUUUUACAGCCGGAAAAACCGAGGCAGGAGGGAAGGGACUUGCCCAGGGGUGCGCCGCGUGGGCCCAGCCAGGCUGCUCGGCCCCAGGGAACAGCCUCCAUGUUGGCCAUGCUCCCCCGCCCCUCCCCCAUCCCCGGGUCUGUCUGGAACUCCCCAGCCUGGGGGCUGUGCGCGUCAGGAACCCCCUGUCCUUUCUCUGACUGCAGGAGACCAGCGCAGUGGUGGGGUCACUGAGGCCAGCAGCCUCCUGGGGGGCUCACCGCGGCGUCCGUGUGGCCGGAAGGGCUCCCCAUAUCACACGGGGCAGCUGCACCCCGCAGUGCGCGUGGCCGACCUCCUGCAGCACAUCAACCAGAUGAAGACGGCCGAGGGCUAUGGCUUCAAGCAGGAGUACGAGGUGCAGGGCCCCAGGCCAGCCGGGCCCCCUCGCCAGGGCCUCGCCUGGCUCCCCCUCACUGUGGACCCUGACCCUGGUCUGACCUCAAAUCCACUCUCAUGAUCGACCUACUUCCUUUUGGCCUUCACCCUGAACCCUCAACCCACCCCCCAAAACUGACCCGGCCUCUGGCUCUCAUGCUCGGACUUGGAUCCCAAACCAGUCUCCAUGAGAAUGUCGACCAUGACCCCUAAUUAGACGAAUCUAAAGUGACCCUGACUUUACCCUCUGGAUUUUGACCCAGAACCUCAUCCUAAUACUUCCCUGGUUUUGACUCUAAUCCUAAACCUGACCCUUAUCUGAUCCUUUCUCUGAACUUGACCUGCUUCCUAACCCCAUCACUCCCCUCUCCUGCUCUCUGCCUUCGUUUUGAACGCUGGUUCCUUGCUGAUUAAAGGUAAAUGCAGUCAUUCAUGCCAAGCCUCAGCGUUGGCCCUGACCUAGCCUUCACUGUGACUCAGCCCUCCAGCUUGCCUACUUUAUCCCAGAUGAGGGGCUAACCAUCUUUUUCCUUCUUUAUAAGGCUUCUUUGAAGGCUGGGAUGCCAUGAGGAAGAAACUGUCUCAGAGACCCAUGCCUGAGAGUCCUGAGGGAUGGCCUGAAGCCUAGGGGAGCAGGCAGGAGGCAGUCAGAAGGGGGCUCGGCAAGGGUCUCCAGGGUUCUAGCUCAGCCCAGCCAUGAAGAGCCAUCAGACCAGAUGACCUCUAGCAUCCCUGAGGAAACUGAUUCCAGAAGGAAAGGCAGAAGGCUCUGGAAACAGGGAGCUGGGUAGCCUGGGCUUCUGUAGUCUCUCUCAGUGUAAGCUUUGCCAAGGCCUGUCUUUCUGGACCUUGAUUUCUCCAUCCAUAAGGCAAAGCUAAUAACGCCAAUGGGGCACCCUUCAUGAGGCUGUUAAGAGACCAUUGGCCUCAUUCAUCCCCCAAGUCCCAGGAGAUGCUGAACUCGGUCAUGCCAGCACUGGAUGUGGAAAAAGCAGCAUGGCCCUCUUCCCCAGAACCUCAACAAGGACCCAGCAUCAAUAUCCUGCCACCUGACCGCCGCCAGCCCUCCCUUAGCUCCACUGAUGGGGAACCCCCACAUCUACCUCAACAUGGCCCUGGUGGAUGGGAGGGCUGCAGUCUCUCCGGUGGCCAGAGGACACAGGCUAUUCCAAUGGCUUCACAGUCCAACGUCAUUUCAUCUGAAUUACGAACUCAUGGAACAGCACUACCCCCCGACUCAUGCUGUUGAUGCAUCGCUUGGAUCCUGGCCUGGCCUUCUGGGCCAGGCCCGGGGCUUUCUGGGAGAAUGUCUACUGAAGCGGCAGCUGCCUCCUGGGAGCUUUCGGUCCAUCAGGGAGCCAGAGAACCACAGCACCACUCACAGUCCCUCCACCGACAGUUUUGCAGAUGACAGACUCUUGGAAGGAAAGCGUGUUGGACCAAAGGUAGGAGAGAAAAUCUCCACGGGCCAGACCUGCAGACUGAGACUCACACGAUGGGAUUUCAUAUGCCCUAGUGAAUUAAACAUGCAGUGCAAAAUAAAUCAGCAGCUCGGGAACAGAGGAGGGAGACAGGCCUUGAGACGGGACUGACAGAGAGCUCAGUGUGAGCCCAUGAAGUGACAUACCUCUCGUGUCACCUGCCCCAUCCAGCCCCGUCCCAACCAAGGCCCGGCCUGCAAGAUGGAGGGAGGGCCCCCAAACCUGCUCAGUUUAGUAAUAACAAGAACAAUAGUGAUAGUCUCUGCUCCAAAGGUUUACUCUGUAUUAUGUACUCACGUUAGCUCUCUGUCCUCACAAGUUCACAUGGUUGGUAUUAUUAGUACCAUUUUACACAAAAGAAAACCGAAGCUCAGGAAAGCUAAGUAAUAAAGAGCUGGUAAGUGGCA